CAUGGGGCUCUGUGUAUGUUUUCAUCAGAAAAGUCAAAACCUAAAAAAAAAUUGUUCUUGCAAUUUUUCGACCGUCUGAGUGUAAUUUUGCAAAAUUCAUUAAAAAAUAUGUGCAAAACAAUAAAAAAUUCAAUAAAAUAUACAUCGGCGUGUAAUUAAUAAUGAAUUUGUUAAACAAUUGUGUACAAUCACAGUGAAUAAGUGCCAAAAUAUAACCGCAUAUUAAUUUAAGAGGAAGGAUUUAUCUCGAUACGCUUCUCUGUGGCUGUGGUAUUAUAUUUAGGUGAGGUUGAAACUAAUGCGGAUAAUGAAAGGAAAACUAAAAUUGUAUAUCUUACGUUUUGGUUGAGCACAGAGAAUACUUGAGAGUUGAGAAGUGGUGGUUUGGUUAAAUGGAAUUUAUUGACAAAGCUUGCAUUUUAUAAUCAGAGUUCAAGUUACGAAUGGAAGGAAAGAUAAGAAGUUCUCGACAGCAACAAGGUCGUUUUUUUUGAUUACUAAAGGAAAAUAUAAAUUAAAUUUUAGAAGAAUAAGAAGAAUAAGAACGUUGUAAAGAAAAUUGACAUUGUGUUGUGUUACAAUGAAAUCUUAAUUUAACGUUUUAUGUGUGUUAAUAAAUUGGGUUAUGCUCUGAAAACAAUGCUUUGUUAAUGAAAUUGAAGUAACAAGAGAACCUGUUAUCUAAGGGUGUAAAUAGCAUUUGAAAAUUAUUUCAACUAUUUUAAUAUCAGAAUUACUAUAUUUGAAUAAAAUGUGUCAAAAAUUAUUGAUUACAAAAAAAAAAAAACACAUUAAGCCUUUGGCUGCCAUCACUUUUGGG
Episyrphus balteatus (marmalade hoverfly) is the source of this 820-nucleotide long non-coding RNA. RefSeq lists it as uncharacterized. The transcript has 2 exons. Lineage: Eukaryota; Metazoa; Arthropoda; Insecta; Diptera; Syrphidae. The record is from RefSeq and is a predicted model, not a curated record.